This is a long non-coding RNA of Priapulus caudatus, 125 nucleotides long. RefSeq lists it as uncharacterized. The transcript has 3 exons. Lineage: Eukaryota; Metazoa; Priapulida; Priapulimorpha; Priapulimorphida; Priapulidae. The record is from RefSeq and is a predicted model, not a curated record.
AGAUUCGCAGUCUGUACUUCUUUUCAACUUUCCCUCACGGUACUUGUUUGCUAUCGGUCCCGUGUCAGUAUUUAGCCUUAGUAUGAGUUUACCACCCCACCUUUGGGCUGCAAUCCCAAACACCC